UAAGGAAUAUUGGACAAUGGAGGCAACUCUGAUCCAGCCAUGCCGCGUGAAUGAAUAAGGCCCUAUGGGUUGUAAACUUCUUUUAGACGGGACAAAACCCCUUUACGUGUAAAGGGUUGAUGGUACUGUCAGAAUAAGCAUCGGCUAACUUCGUGCCAGCAGCCGCGGUAAUACGAAGGAUGCAAGCGUUAUCCGGAAUUAUUGGGUUUAAAGGGUGCGUAGGCGGAAUAAUAAGUCAGUGGUGAAAGCCUGCAGCUUAACUGCAGAAGUGACAUUGAUACUGUUAGUCUUGAGUACAGUUGAGGUAGGCGGAAUGUGUCAUGUAGCGGUGAAAUGCUUAGAUAUGACACAGAACACCGAUUGCGAAGGCAGCUUGCUAAGCUGUAACUGACGCUGAGGCACGAAAGCGUGGGGAGCAAACA
This 422-nucleotide ribosomal RNA is filed under the name uncultured bacterium. RNAcentral's name for it is "bacterial SSU rRNA". It matches the Rfam family "Bacterial small subunit ribosomal RNA", at positions 355 to 774 of the family's 1533-position model. The record is from RNAcentral.